Molecule: transfer RNA, 65 nt
Filed under: Dipodomys ordii (Ord's kangaroo rat)
Lineage: Eukaryota; Metazoa; Chordata; Mammalia; Rodentia; Heteromyidae
Rfam family: tRNA
About the family: Transfer RNA (tRNA) molecules are approximately 80 nucleotides in length. Their secondary structure includes four short double-helical elements and three loops (D, anti-codon, and T loops).
Source: Rfam by way of RNAcentral
GGUGGUUCAGCGGUAGAACGCUUGCCUUGCAUGCAUAAGGCCCUGGGUUCGAUUCCUCAGCACCA